CCUACGGGCGGCAGCAGUGAGGAAUAUUGGUCAAUGGACGAGAGUCUGAACCAGCCAAGUAGCGUGAAGGAUGACUGCCCUAUGGGUUGUAAACUUCUUUUAUAUGGGAAUAAAAUGUUCCACGUGUGGCAUUUUGUAUGUACCAUAUGGAUAAGGAUCGGCUAACUCCGUGCCAGCAGCCGCGGUAAUACGGAGGAUCCGAGCGUUAUCCGGAUUUAUUGGGUUUAAAGGGAGCGUAGGUGGAUUGUUAAGUCAGUUGUGAAAGUUUGCGGCUCAACCGUAAAAUUGCAGUUGAAACUGGCAGUCUUGAGUACAGUAGAGGUGUGCGGAAUUCGUGGUGUAGCGGUGAAAUGCUUAGAUAUCACGAAGAACUCCGAUUGCGAAGGCAGCUCACUGGACUGCAACUGACACUGAGGCUCGAAAGUGUGGGUAUCAAACAGGAUUAGAUACCCUGGUAGUC
Molecule: ribosomal RNA, 460 nt
Filed under: uncultured bacterium
Lineage: Bacteria
Description: partial 16S ribosomal RNA
Rfam family: Bacterial small subunit ribosomal RNA
Source: RNAcentral